UGUAAACAUUGGCCAGCUGACUCUGUGACGUCACGCACACAAACAGAGGAAAUAUGUGGGCCAUGGAGCACAUGGUCCUGCUGCACUACAUUAUUAGUGAUAUAUUCUCAAACAAACAAACGACAAUCUCUGGUCUUGAUAAGGAUUGGAUAAACCAAAGCCAGGAAGAGUCGACAGCCUUUUACACAGGCUCCAUCUGUACCUGCGAUGAGUGAGGAAGCUGCCAUUGGCAUGUCCUGAUCCAUCACAUCCCGGCGUGGGGCAGGUCGGGCCCUCAGUCUUGAAGGCCUUCCAGGAGAAUGGUGUGCCAUUUAACAUGCCCUCUUUCUGCCGGCGUGCUGCCAGCGGGCACCCAUAGGCACUGCGGUGGGUGGCGUAUUUCCCACUGAUAUGCCCCAGACUGUCACAACCUGGCACCGGGCACCUAUAGAGAGGUAAGUGAUGAGCUGGCAGUCAGUUUUGGCAUUCUCUAAAGACGCAGGCUGUGUUUAGUAAAUCCGCUGGCUUUGUGCAGCAUAGUAGGUUUAUUAAAAACGUACUUUAU
This 544-nucleotide long non-coding RNA is filed under the name Danio rerio (zebrafish). RNAcentral's name for it is "si:dkey-202m22.9 (ENSDARG00000097796.2)". The record is from RNAcentral. Lineage: Eukaryota; Metazoa; Chordata; Actinopteri; Cypriniformes; Danionidae.